Molecule: ribosomal RNA, 309 nt
Filed under: Triticum aestivum (bread wheat)
Lineage: Eukaryota; Viridiplantae; Streptophyta; Magnoliopsida; Poales; Poaceae
Description: partial small subunit ribosomal RNA
Source: RNAcentral
AUGCUAACAGUGGAUGAGUUUAAAACUGCAUGGAAAGAACUGUUAGAAGCAUACAGUUUACAGAAUCACCCAUACCUAACUAACAUAUAUGAAACGAGAAAAAAAUGGGCAAAACCAUAUUUCAAUGGAAAAUUUUGUGCAAAAAUGUCAAGCACGCAGCGUAGCGAGAGUGCCAACCAUAUGCUCAAAGGUUAUGUGCCAGCCAGUUGUCCAAUGCACCUGUUCGUGCGUCAGUACAUGCGACUCCUGUUUGACAGGGAGGCAAGCGAAAACUAUGAAGAGAGGUGCACAAAGAUACUAAGAUUUUGA